UCAACAAGUGUAUUUUUUUAAUUUUAAGAACAACGUUUCGAACUUGUAUCACCAAAACAUUGAAAGAAUAGGAUCAUUGAGGUUUGCUUCAUACUUAAUAUAUAUACAUUGUUUUCUUGUAAGCUAGAGAUUUCCUCAAAGCACAAAAAAAAAAUAUUUCAUAUAUUCUUGUUAAGAAUCAUCCGAAAGCUUAUAGCAUCUUAAGCCUGAAACUUCAUAUUUGAGACACUAUGCAUGUUGGACCAUCAUCAGCCAUAUCUGGAUGCACAAAAUUCCUCGAUUUUAUAGUCUCCAUGGCAACCGAAUAGAACGAAGACCUCUGAAACCAACAACAAGUUGGCCUUCCAAACAUAUCUCUCUCCUCGAUUAUGCUUCGAUUCUGCUUCGUCAUCACAACAAUAGCAACCACUUACUGUUUUCGCCACGUAUUGAUUCUCUUUUUGGCUGUAACUCUCAAAUUGUGGUAGUUUAUACAUGUAACCAAACAUACAGAGACCCUGCCCCAUGUCAAUUGUCGUGUUGCCGAAUAUUGGAAACAUAAAACAAUUUGCGAAUUCCCUGCUUAACGAACAAAAUCCAAAUUCUCGAUUCUAGCAACAAGAAACAGACCAUUUAAAAAAGGGAAAACGAAGCAAUUGCUCAAAUUUCUCAACUCUAGCCGUGAGCAAGAAACAACUUAAAAGAGAAUGGAAGAACGAGUUACUGAAGCAAUUCCCUCAACACACACUCCCCCUCGGCGCUCUUCCGCUGGCGAGACGAUGACGCAGAACAUGAACUAGGGAUUCUGUUUAAUCUCGAUAGCAGCAGAUAUUUUGGUUUGGGGAAGAACAUUUGUGGGGUUCUGAUUUUAUUCGAUGUCUAUUUACGAUUAUUUUGUUAAUGAAUAUUUUAAUUUAUUGUUGAGUUAAUAAG
This 912-nucleotide long non-coding RNA is filed under the name Erythranthe guttata (spotted monkey flower). RNAcentral describes it as "long non-coding RNA (EGUT_LNC003187)". The record is from RNAcentral. Lineage: Eukaryota; Viridiplantae; Streptophyta; Magnoliopsida; Lamiales; Phrymaceae.